RNAcentral lists this ribosomal RNA (429 nucleotides) under Gemmatimonadota bacterium. RNAcentral describes it as "Gemmatimonadetes bacterium partial 16S ribosomal RNA". It matches the Rfam family "Bacterial small subunit ribosomal RNA", at positions 355 to 776 of the family's 1533-position model. Lineage: Bacteria; Pseudomonadati; Gemmatimonadota. The record is from RNAcentral.
UAGGGAAUCUUCGGCAAUGGACGAAAGUCUGACCGAGCAACGCCGCGUGAGUGAAGAAGGUUUUCGGAUCGUAAAACUCUGUUGUUAGAGAAGAACAAGGACGUUAGUAACUGAACGUCCCCUGACGGUAUCUAACCAGAAAGCCACGGCUAACUACGUGCCAGCAGCCGCGGUAAUACGUAGGUGGCAAGCGUUGUCCGGAUUUAUUGGGCGUAAAGCGAGCGCAGGCGGUUUCUUAAGUCUGAUGUGAAAGCCCCCGGCUCAACCGGGGAGGGUCAUUGGAAACUGGGAGACAUGAGUGCAGAAGAGGAGAGUGGAAUUCCAUGUGUAGCGGUGAACUGCGUAGAUAUAUGGAGGAACACCAGUGGCGAAGGCGGCUCUCUGGUCUGUAACUGACGCUGAGGCUCGAAAGCGUGGGGAGCAAACAGG